RNAcentral lists this ribosomal RNA (484 nucleotides) under uncultured bacterium. RNAcentral's name for it is "partial 16S ribosomal RNA". It matches the Rfam family "Bacterial small subunit ribosomal RNA", at positions 30 to 507 of the family's 1533-position model. The record is from RNAcentral.
AUUGAACGCUGGCGGAAUGCUUUACACAUGCAAGUCGAGCGGCAGCGCGGCCUUCGGGCUGGCGGCGAGCGGCGAACGGGUGAGUAAUGCAUCGGAACAUGCCCAGUUGUGGGGGAUAACACUUCGAAAGAAGUGCUAAUACCGCAUACGUCCUGAGGGGGAAAGCGGGGGAUCGCAAGACCUCGCGCGAUUGGAGUGGCCGAUGUCAGAUUAGCUAGUUGGUGGGGUAAAGGCCUACCAAGGCGACGAUCUGUAGCUGGUCUGAGAGGAUGAUCAGCCACACUGGGACUGAGACACGGCCCAGACUCCUACGGGAGGCAGCAGUGGGGAAUUUUGGACAAUGGGGGCAACCCUGAUCCAGCCAUUCCGCGUGAGUGAAGAAGGCCUUCGGGUUGUAAAGCUCUUUCGGCAGGAACGAAACGGUGGGCUCUAACAUAGUCCGCUAAUGACGGUACCUGAAGAAGAAGCACCGGCUAACUACGUG